RNAcentral lists this unclassified non-coding RNA (204 nucleotides) under soil metagenome. RNAcentral describes it as "partial contains 5.8S ribosomal RNA, internal transcribed spacer 2, and large subunit ribosomal RNA". The record is from RNAcentral.
AACAAGGCGUACCUGCGGACCUGCGGAAGGAUCAUUACCGAGUUUACAACUCCCAAACCCCUGUGAACAUACCUAUAUGUUGCCUCGGCGGAUCAGCCCGCGCCCCGUAAAACGGGACGGCCCGCCGCAGGAUCCACAAACUCUGUUUUUAUUGUAACUUCUGAGUAACAAAACAAAUAAAUCAAAACUUUCAGCAACGGAUCU